Molecule: long non-coding RNA, 367 nt
Organism: Magnolia sinica
Lineage: Eukaryota; Viridiplantae; Streptophyta; Magnoliopsida; Magnoliales; Magnoliaceae
Exons: 3
Source: RefSeq, a predicted model, not a curated record
GGUAUUGGCAAUAGGGGCUGAUUGCAACGGAGAUGGAAAGAGGCAAGGUUGAAGAAGAUCACCAAGUCAAAGCGGAUGAAGCUCCUUAAGGUCAUGCCAAAUGAGAUCUUCGCAAAGAAGAAGAAUUAGAACAUUUAAACACCACGAUUUCAUCAAGGAACACAAGCGAGACUCAAACAAAUGAGAUGGAGAAGGGGCCUAGCAGCACAUGUGCUAUCCUCGUACAGUUAUAGGAAAACGAGCAAAGAGCAACUAGUGGUUGAACUAAAAAUCAGGCUAGCCUGCUUAUCAUAGGGGAUGCGAGAAGGAGAAAGAUGACGAUUGGCACAAGCUUGCACACAUUUCAUACAUUCAGAUUGGAUGGCCA